RNAcentral lists this ribosomal RNA (862 nucleotides) under uncultured bacterium. RNAcentral's name for it is "bacterial SSU rRNA". It matches the Rfam family "Bacterial small subunit ribosomal RNA", at positions 26 to 898 of the family's 1533-position model. The record is from RNAcentral.
AGGAUGAACGCUAGCGGGAGGCCUAAUACAUGCAAGUCGAACGGUAAAUAGUAGCAAUACUAUGAGAGUGGCGUACGGGUGCGUAACGCGUACACAACCUGCCUUAUACUGGGGCAUAGCCUUGGGAAACUAAGAUUAACUCCCCAUAACACUGCACUGUGGCAUCACAGAGCAGUUAAAAUUCCGGUGGUAUAAGAUGGGUGUGCGUCUGAUUAGCUUGUUGGCGAGGUAAUGGCUCACCAAGGCAAUGAUCGGUAGCCGGACUGAGAGGUUGGCCGGCCACACUGGAACUGAGACACGGUCCAGACUCCUACGGGAGGCAGCAGUGGGGAAUCUUGCGCAAUGGACGAAAGUCUGACGCAGCAACGCCGCGUGGGGGAUGAAGCUUCUCGGAGUGUAAACCCCUUUCGACCCGGACGAAUGCCCGCAAGGGUUUGACGGUACGGGUAUAAGAAGCCCCGGCUAACUACGUGCCAGCAGCCGCGGUAAAACGUAGGGGGCCAGCGUUGCUCGGAAUUACUGGGCGUAAAGGGUCCGUAGGCGGUGUGGCAAGUCGGAAGUGAAAUCUCUGGGCUUAACCCAGAGGCUGCUCCCGAAACUGCCAUGCUAGAGUGUGAGAGAGGCGAGUGGAAUUGCGGGUGUAGCGGUGAAAUGCGUAGAUAUCCGCAGGAACAUCCGAGGCGAAAGCGGCUCGCUGGAUCACAACUGACGCUGAGGGACGAAAGCUAGGGGAGCAAACAGGAUUAGAUACCCUGGUAGUCCUAGCCCUAAACCAUCAGACUUGGGGUUUGCCCUGUACGGGGCAAGUCCCGUAGCUAACGCGUUAAGUCCUGCGCCUGGGGAGUACGGUCGCAAGGCUGAA